GGACAAUUCAAAAGAUCAUACAUAAUCUACAAAGCGAAAAUAAGAUAAAGUAUGAUGUGUUCAAUCAUUCAACAACACCGUAUCAUGAUGGCCUCCAUUCACAUUAUUUAUUUUGAAGACUACAGAGAAAUUAUACCAAUUACUUGCUUUCACUUCUUUAAAAAGAAGGGGGGAAAAACACAUAACCCACAAUAUCCAGAAAAUUAAUUCCAUAGAAUUGGUAUGUACCAACAAGCAAUCAAAUAAUAGCUGAUUUGGUAG
This 261-nucleotide unclassified non-coding RNA is filed under the name Hevea brasiliensis (rubber tree). Lineage: Eukaryota; Viridiplantae; Streptophyta; Magnoliopsida; Malpighiales; Euphorbiaceae. The record is from RNAcentral.